Molecule: ribosomal RNA, 229 nt
Filed under: uncultured bacterium
Lineage: Bacteria
Description: partial 16S ribosomal RNA
Rfam family: Bacterial small subunit ribosomal RNA
Source: RNAcentral
UGCGUAGGCGGGGCAAUUAGUCAGUGGUGAAAUCCUGCGGCUUAACCGUAGAACUGCCAUUGAUACUGUUGCCCUUGAGUAUAGUUGAGGUGGGCGGAAUGUGUAAUGUAGCGGUGAAAUGCAUAGAGAUUACACAGAACACCAAUUGCGAAGGCAGCUCACUAAGCUAUAACUGACGCUGAGGCACGAAAGCGUGGGGAGCGAACAGGAUUAGAUACCCGAGUAGUCC